AGCUUGCCCCCAUACCUCAAAGCAUUUUGUUCUUCUUCUUCAGCCAAUAUUUUCGCAAUGGCAUGAUCAUCCUCAGUACCUUGUGAACUGCUAUUCAAACUAGACGCCGUCGAACUCGAGCUUCCUCUUGAGUUUCCAUAUUCAGUCAUAUUACAAUCAAUAACUUCUCAAAAUAGACCAAUACAACAAAAAUUCCUAGCAAGCAACAAUCCCCAUAUCAAAUUAGGAUACGAUCAGGUCACAUAAAAGAUAUGGAGUAACUUUAUUUAAUAGCAUUGAUUGGUAAAUUAGAAUAAAUGCUAAGUAGCAUAUAACUUAAAUCAUCCAAAUAAAAUUAGGAUUGAUACAUAAGCUCCGAAAAAAAAAAAAAAAAACCCCAACAACAGAAAAUGGAAAAACUGUAAUCUUUGCGAGGAUCUAUCAGAUACUUGUCCGUAUGAAAGACCCACAAUUGGAAUACGAAGUAAUGUAUCUAAUUUUGGAUGUGAAUUUUGAUCUCGAUUCCUUUAGCCCUUCUUUCAUAGUAAAGAAAAAAUAAAUCAAUUCAUGAGCUAGAUAGAGCAAAAUUCGAAGCACCUUUUGGCCUAGUGACGAGGAAGAGAAACAAAUGCGAUUUUGAUAAUUCAAGAAAAAAGGAAGUAAUAAUGAGAUUUUGAUAAUUCAAGAAAAAGAAAGCAUAAGGGAGAGGGGUGGGUGCCGAAGUAGAGGAAAGAUGGCAAAGGAAAGCGAAGAGUUGGUUGUGAGUCUUGUGAACGUGGGAACACUUGGAUUAGACGUCAUUCCAUCACCUCGACAAGCAAAGAGAUAAAUGUUGGUCAACAAAACACGAGAUAGAAACAUCUUACUUGGGGUAUUACC
RNAcentral lists this long non-coding RNA (858 nucleotides) under Nicotiana tabacum (common tobacco). Its description in RNAcentral is "long non-coding RNA (NTAB_LNC007697)". Lineage: Eukaryota; Viridiplantae; Streptophyta; Magnoliopsida; Solanales; Solanaceae. The record is from RNAcentral.